This 510-nucleotide ribosomal RNA is filed under the name uncultured bacterium. Its description in RNAcentral is "partial 16S ribosomal RNA". It matches the Rfam family "Bacterial small subunit ribosomal RNA", at positions 28 to 507 of the family's 1533-position model. The record is from RNAcentral.
GACGAACGCUGGCGGCGUGCUUAACACAUGCAAGUCGAACGAAGAGCGAUGGAAGCUUGCUUCUAUCAAUCUUAGUGGCGAACGGGUGAGUAACGCGUAAUCAACCUGCCCUUCAGAGGGGGACAACAGUUGGAAACGACUGCUAAUACCGCAUACGAUCCAAUCUCGGCAUCGGGACUGGAUGAAAGGUGGCCUCUAUUUAUAAGCUAUCACUGAAGGAGGGGAUUGCGUCUGAUUAGCUAGUUGGAGGGGUAACGGCCCACCAAGGCGAUGAUCAGUAGCCGGUCUGAGAGGAUGAACGGCCACAUUGGGACUGAGACACGGCCCAGACUCCUACGGGAGGCAGCAGUGGGGAAUCUUCCGCAAUGGACGAAAGUCUGACGGAGCAACGCCGCGUGAGUGAUGACGGCCGUCGGGUUGUAAAGCUCUGUUAAUCGGGACGAAUGGUUCUUGUGCGAAUAGUGCGAGGAUUUGACGGUACCGGAAUAGAAAGCCACGGCUAACUACGUG